CGAACUAGUGUUGAGCUAAAUAUCCGGAGUUUUUAGGCGCAUGAUGUGCGUGGUAUAGCACAAUUGAAAGGAGUAUUUAGGGGUGAAAGGCCAGACAAAAACUAAGAUAUCUUGAUACCAUAAAAAUGUAUGUAGUACUUUAGACAAAUAUAGAGUGGUUAGGCUUUAUAUAUUUAUAAUAAUUAUUUUAUAGCAACAAUGAUAUAACCAUCUAUUACUUUGUAGGACUAUUAUUGGAUUUAUAGUUUAUGUAGCUUAUAAAUGGUUACUUGCUGUAAAUUUCAACGGCCAUUGAUAAUGUUUCCAUAAGUACUAGUGUGAGACCAAGAUAAAGAACUCGGCAAGACUUUUCUUCAACUGUUUAACAAAAACAUAACUAUAUGAAUGUGUAUAUAGCUAUUUCUGCUCAAUGUUUCCAUAAAUAGCCGCAGUACUUUGACUGUGCAAAGGUAGCAUAAUCAAUUGGCUUAUAAUUGAAGUCUGGAAUGAAAGAAUUUAUGGGGAGAAACUGUUUCAUUUUGGUUGUUGGAAAUUAUUUAUUAGGUGAAAAAACCUAUAAAUAAACAAUAGACGAGAAGACCCUAGAAAUUUUAAUUACUAGCUAAAGUUACCUUUUUGUUGGGGCGACAAAGUAGCAUGUGUAAACCUACUUUAAAGAUAUGGAUUAUUUAUAAAGAUCAAAUAAAUUACUCUAGGGAUAACAGCAUAAUAUUUUAAAGUUUGUGACCUCGAUGUUGGACUAGGAAAUUAUAGUUUAGAAGACGAUUAUACAGGCUCUGUU
RNAcentral lists this ribosomal RNA (781 nucleotides) under Acusta redfieldi. Its description in RNAcentral is "partial large subunit ribosomal RNA". The stretch from base 313 to 557 matches the Rfam family "Archaeal large subunit ribosomal RNA", at positions 1786 to 2143 of the family's 2987-position model. Lineage: Eukaryota; Metazoa; Mollusca; Gastropoda; Stylommatophora; Camaenidae. The record is from RNAcentral.